This is a long non-coding RNA of Solanum dulcamara, 820 nucleotides long. RefSeq lists it as uncharacterized. NCBI's taxonomy places the organism in Eukaryota, Viridiplantae, Streptophyta, Magnoliopsida, Solanales, Solanaceae. The transcript has 3 exons. The record is from RefSeq and is a predicted model, not a curated record.
UUAUUAAUGUCCCCCUUCUCGUCAAAUUGAGCUUGAUGUAACUGUAAUGGUACUCAAUAACUCAACAUUGUUUCAGUUGGGUUGAAGUCCAUGCAUUUUUGUGAGAGUCGGUGUAAUCUUGACCUAAAUUGCUUUAUGAACUGCAAACAAUUAACAUGUUUGUAUCUCAGAAAUUAUUCAACGCCUGCUGAAAGAUUGACUUUGGAAAAGCUUCUUAUUAGCUUGACUACACUUGAGGUACUUGCGUUGUGGUUACUUGAACUUGAGCUUUCGAGUGCAGGUGCAGGUCAAAAGGGUUUUCCUUUUACGCUCAACUGCUUGUAUCAUCUACAUUUAGGUGUAAACUGCAUUCAAAUCGGCCAGACUUAUUAUGCAUUACCAAUUUGAGUAGACUUGAAAUUUGGGUCUAUAAUUCCUCUGAUACUGUUGAAGCAGUUUUGAAAUGUAUGGACACACCAACUUUCUUGAACCAACCGCUCAACAAGCUCGAAGAUGUUACUAUGCAUUAUUUUAGGGGUUCAAAGACUGAAUUGUUUUUUGUUAAGCUAUUGCUAGCUCGUACUCCAUCUUUGGUAAGGAUGAAUACGGACCCGGUUGGUUCUUUGGAAGAUUGGAAUAUUGCCAUUGAAUUGAUGCGGUUCCCUAGAGCAUCUCCCAAGGCAGAGCUAUUCUAUUUGAAAAAAUAGAUAAGAAUUUAUAAGCCGCGGAUUGAUUUGUGAUUCAAGUCUACAAAGGCAGGAUGCUAUAUGUUUUCAGUGUGUUCUCUUAAUUACUUUGAUAAACUUGUUCUUAAAUAUAUGUUUUGAAAGUUCAGUCUUAA